This 478-nucleotide ribosomal RNA is filed under the name uncultured bacterium. RNAcentral describes it as "bacterial SSU rRNA". It matches the Rfam family "Bacterial small subunit ribosomal RNA", at positions 791 to 1266 of the family's 1533-position model. The record is from RNAcentral.
UAGUCCACGCUGUAAACGAUGAUUACUCGGUGCUGGCGAUAUACUGUCAGUGCCUAAGCGAAAGUGAUAAGUAAUCCACCUGGGGAGUACGAUCGCAAGGUUGAAACUCAAAGGAAUUGACGGGGGCCCGCACAAGCGGUGGAGCAUGUGGUUUAAUUCGAUGAUACGCGAGGAACCUUACCUGGGCUUAAAUGCAUAAUGACAGACUGAGAAAUCAGUCGUUCUUCGGACAGAAUGCAAGGUGCUGCAUGGCUGUCGUCAGCUCGUGCUGUGAGGUGUCGGGUUAAGUCCCAUAACGAGUGCAACCCUAUUUCUAGUUGCCAGCACAUAAUGGUGGGGACUUUAGAAAAACUGCCUACGCAAGUAGAGAGGAAGGGUGGGGGACGACGGUCAAGUCAUCACGGGCCCUUACGUCCAGGGGCUACACACGUGCUACAAUGGUAGAGACAGAGGGGCAGGCCACUUGGGUGACAAGGGA